GUUUGUCUCUACUGGUGUCUGGAGGAGUAGAGGGUUUGUCUCUCCUGCUGUGUGUCUGAAGGAGUAGGGGUUUGUCUCUCCUGGUGUGGUGUCUGGAGGAGUAGGUGGUUUGUCUCUUAUGGUGUGGUGUCUGGAGGAAUAAGGGUUUGUCUCUCCUGGUGUGGUGUCUGGAGGAGUUGGGGUUUUGUCUCUCCUGGUGUGGUGUCUGGAGGUGUAGGGUUUUGUCUCUCCCGGUGUGGUGUCUGGAGGAGUAGGUGGUUUGUCUCUCAUUGUUACGUUCCCCAGAUUAUGUGUUGUAGAUUGUGUAUUUGCAUGUGUUUAUUUCAGGAAAUGGCUUCCUGAAAUUCCUCAAGCAGCUGAUUGGUCGACUCCAGGGCUAAUUGGAGAGCUGACCCCGCCCCCUCGUCAAGACACAGCUGUCUCCAAUUACCCAUUCCUUCAGAAGCUAUAUAAAAGCCAGUGUUCUGUUCAGGAGUUUUUCUUUUUGCUAGAGAGAUUUGCUGGGAGGUCAUUGUAGAGAUUGUGAUAGAGGUUGAUUUUGCUGGGAGUACAUUGCUGAGUUUGUUGCUCAGAAAGAGCUUAUUUGACAUCCUUUUGUUUCUUAGUUUGUUUAAAAUUGUUUAAUAUUCUGUUUCAUUUGUUCCCAGGGGGAAAGGGAAGGCACCUAGGGAGUGCUUAGG
Oncorhynchus tshawytscha (Chinook salmon) is the source of this 680-nucleotide long non-coding RNA. The record is from Ensembl. NCBI's taxonomy places the organism in Eukaryota, Metazoa, Chordata, Actinopteri, Salmoniformes, Salmonidae.